This is a small nucleolar RNA of Drosophila albomicans, 74 nucleotides long. RefSeq annotates it as small nucleolar RNA Me28S-Cm2645. The transcript has a single exon. Lineage: Eukaryota; Metazoa; Arthropoda; Insecta; Diptera; Drosophilidae. The record is from RefSeq and is a predicted model, not a curated record.
ACUUUUAUGAUGAAAACUUUGAUAGGGACAUCUGAUUUCUAUGAUUGUGUCCAUGAUAGUAGACCUGAUAAAAU